GCUCCGAUGGUGUAAUCGGUAACACUACUGCUCGGAAAGGGGGAGGUGCAGGUUCGAAUCCUGCCUGGAGCG
Non-coding RNA from Teladorsagia circumcincta, 72 nucleotides. Lineage: Eukaryota; Metazoa; Nematoda; Chromadorea; Rhabditida; Trichostrongylidae. The record is from the annotation of a GenBank genome assembly.